This 404-nucleotide ribosomal RNA is filed under the name uncultured Glomeromycotina. RNAcentral's name for it is "SSU rRNA". It matches the Rfam family "Eukaryotic small subunit ribosomal RNA", at positions 569 to 978 of the family's 1831-position model. Lineage: Eukaryota; Fungi; Glomeromycota. The record is from RNAcentral.
AGCAGCCGCGGUAAUUCCAGCUCCAAUAGCGUAUAUUAAAGUUGUUGCAGUUAAAAAGCUCGUAGUUGAAUUUCGGGGUUAGUAGGUUGGUCAUGCCUCUGGUAUGUACUGGUCUCACUGAUUCCUCCUUUCUGAUGAGCCGUAAUGCCAUUAAUUUGGUGUCGUGGAGAAUCAGGACUGUUACCUUGAAAAAAUUGAGUGUUUAUAGCAGGCUAACGCUUGAAUACAUUAGCAUGGAAUAAUGAAAUAGGACGUUCGACCCUAUUUUGUUGGUUUCUAGGAUCGACGUAAUGAUUAAUAGGGAUAGUUGGGGGCAUUAGUAUUCAAUUGUCAGAGGUGAAAUUCUUGGAUUUAUUGAGGACUAACUACUGCGAAAGCAUUUGCCAAGGAUGUUUUCAUUAAUC